CGUGUAGGCGGGGAAGUAAGUCGGGCGUGAAAUCCCUAGGCUCAACCUAGGAACUGCACUCGAAACUACUUCUCUUGAGUACCGGAGAGGAAAGCGGAAUACCUGGUGUAGAGGUGAAAUUCGUAGAUAUCAGGUGGAACACCAGUGGCGAAGGCGGCUUUCUGGACGGUAACUGACGCUGAGACGCGAAAGCGUGGGGAGCAAACA
Molecule: ribosomal RNA, 207 nt
Filed under: uncultured bacterium
Lineage: Bacteria
Description: partial 16S ribosomal RNA
Rfam family: Bacterial small subunit ribosomal RNA
Source: RNAcentral